GCGGGUGUGGUGAAAUCGGUAGACACCCCGGAUUUAGGUUCCGGUGCCGCAAGGCGUGGGGGUUCAAGUCCCUCCACCCGCACCA
RNAcentral lists this transfer RNA (85 nucleotides) under Defluviimonas salinarum. RNAcentral's name for it is "tRNA-Leu". It matches the Rfam family "tRNA". Rfam says of the family: Transfer RNA (tRNA) molecules are approximately 80 nucleotides in length. Their secondary structure includes four short double-helical elements and three loops (D, anti-codon, and T loops). Lineage: Bacteria; Pseudomonadati; Pseudomonadota; Alphaproteobacteria; Rhodobacterales; Paracoccaceae. The record is from RNAcentral.